Molecule: ribosomal RNA, 432 nt
Filed under: uncultured bacterium
Lineage: Bacteria
Description: partial 16S ribosomal RNA
Rfam family: Bacterial small subunit ribosomal RNA
Source: RNAcentral
AACGAACGCUGGCGGCAUGCCUAACACAUGCAAGUCGAACGAGACCUUCGGGUCUAGUGGCGCACGGGUGCGUAACGCGUGGGAACCUGAACUUAGGUUCGGAAUAACUACCAGAAAGGGGUGAUAAUACCGGAUAAUGUCUACGGACCAAAGAUUUAUCGCCUUUGGAUGGGCCCGCGUUGGAUUAGCUAGUUGGUAGGGUAAAAGCCUACCAAGGCGACGAUCCAUAGCUGGUCUGAGAGGAGGAUCAGCCACACUGGGACUGAGACACGGCCCAGACUCCUCCGGGAGGCAGCAGUGGGGAAUAUUGGACAAUGGGCGAAAGCCUGAUCCAGCAAGGCCGCGUGAGUGAUGAAGGCCUUAGGGUUGUAAAGCUCUUUUACCCGGGAUGAUAAGGACAGUACCGGGAGAAUAAGCUCCGGCUAACUCCGG